CUCGGCGUUUUGUGGGUUUCGGACACCCUAGGCCUGAGAGAUUCCAGAAGUUUGGGGUGCUUAGAGCUGACUUUCAGGGGAUCCUGGCGGCUGAGCCCGUCAAGCUCCAAGGUUUUUAAUUUUGCAGAAUAUCGUGUGGCUUCAUCCCCAGUGUCAGACGCAGCCCAAGUGCGUGGUAGGAGAUGCGGAAAGGAGCAGCUGGGAGGACGCUUCCACUUUUUUUUUUUUCAGCUCCCAGACAAAUGGCACCGGGUCCAGUGUCCUCUGCCCGUGCCAGCUGAGAGGUCAGCGACCAGAAAGCACUACUUCAGGGAACAAGCGCGGCAGUGUGCAGCGCAUGAAAGACCUUAUUCAUGUAACAGCCUGGAGGGGCUUGUACUGCAUUGUCUGGUAUGCAUUAGCUUUGUGAAAUUAGUCCUCCAAAUUUUUUACAAAAGGAAAGAAAGAAAGUUUGCCUUCCCUUCUGCAUUUACUCUUCCCAAUGAGCCGUCCAAAAGAUUUAUUUGUUGGUCUCGUGCUUAGGAGUCCACUGGCAAAAUGUUUGGGGGGAGUGUGCUGUGGAUAGCCCUGCAAAAAUGUAGCAGUGCAUCAGAAUUUAACUCUGAGGCACGGAAAAUUCAGCCUACACAAGAGGGAGAAGGAAGAAUCUCCGGUCAAAAACAUCAUUCUUUCUGUUCUCCCAUGUGUGCCUACAAUUUUGAAGAUGACCAUAUUAGAUAUCAUUGAAUGUUGCCUGAGCAGAAAAAAAAAAAAAAAAAAGACCACAGGAUCCUGUAAUCAUCGCACUGCUGUUUAAUUUAACUUGCCCUUGAAAGGACAGAAGCUCUUUUUUGGCACCGUGCAUGUCAUUACUCAUGUGCUAAUGGUUUGGGGAUGCUUUAUGUGUAGCACAGUCCUGUUCUGAGUUAAAGGGGACCCCUUCAAAUUCCCAGGUGUACUUCAUGAUAAAAAUCCCCUCUUGGGUUAUGACAAGGCUGACCCUUUGGGGUCGUCCUUCCAUAAAUGCUCCCGUACCCUGCCUGCAAAGCACAUGCUGCCCACUGAAAUGACCGUAAAGGCAGCAAAAUCCGAUACCCUUUUCACAGGUAUCAUUUGAAUUCCUUGUAAACCUUCUAUAGAUAGAAUUUCCUUUUACCAGUCCAAAAGCUCCACAGCGGGAGGUUUUUCUGAAAGAAAAAUAGGUCUGGUCAUGUGGGAAUUGGUCUCAUACCCAGGAUUAUUGGGCUUUGGGGUCUGUUGCAUUCUUUUUCUAAGGCCAAAGCCAGCCUUAUAACUGUUUAUAGUUUGUUUACAAUGAGGUUCUCUCGUCCCUGCAGGACAACGGUCCUUACCAUGUUUUCUGGCCAACACACUUCGUGUCCUAUUACAUUUACUAAAUUUAGAGGAUGAUUUCCUAAAUAUACAAGUAAUAAUAGUAAUUAAUUGCAUCCUUUGGGCCAGUAUAACCUCAGUAAGUUGCAGUGGACGAUCUGGACCUAUAGCUAACUGCUUUAUGCCUCUCUAAUUACAUGAAGCAGCUCUAGUCUCAACAGAUUCGGUCAGCGGGGUAUUUCUACCUGCCGUGGAGUCUCCCCAAGCCACG
Oxyura jamaicensis (ruddy duck) is the source of this 1582-nucleotide long non-coding RNA. RefSeq lists it as uncharacterized. Lineage: Eukaryota; Metazoa; Chordata; Aves; Anseriformes; Anatidae. The transcript has 2 exons. The record is from RefSeq and is a predicted model, not a curated record.